RNAcentral lists this long non-coding RNA (531 nucleotides) under Heterocephalus glaber (naked mole-rat). RNAcentral's name for it is "lncRNA (ENSHGLG00000050028.1)". Lineage: Eukaryota; Metazoa; Chordata; Mammalia; Rodentia; Bathyergidae. The record is from RNAcentral.
UGUUUCCUGAAGGAAGGAGCAGAGGUCCGAUAUCAGAACAAAAGAUGAAGGGCUCCACGUUUUGCCUAAUUGGAAUAACUGAGAUGGUGAGGAGUUUGGGAGCUGAGUCACCUGAGAUUCCCAGUGAAGACCUUCUUUUUCCGAAGGUCCUUGGGUUGGAACAAUGCUCAGCUAGAAAGGAAGUGAUGUCAUUAUAUCAUAUAUCAAUUUCAUGAUUGCAAUUUACCUUAAAAAAGAUUAAAAGCAGAACAUCCAAAACAUUGAUGGUUUCUUCAGUCUUUAAAAUUACAUAGUUAGUGUGGCUCAUGUGGCUUAAUGCUCUUCCUGAUGAUGAGCUGAGCCAGAAAGCACUGUACAGCCAACUACAGGACCAGAGGGAGCAGAACGAGGGGAGACUAGAAGAUCUCCAACUUGUGCUGUGUGUGGAAUAGUAGGAUUGUGUGUAAGGAGUUCUUGUAGUACUCAGAAAUAACACAACUGGCAAACAAACUCAAUGCUCUCCUGACCCUUGUGAAUGUGAGUAACUCAGGC